RNAcentral lists this unclassified non-coding RNA (377 nucleotides) under uncultured Actinomycetes bacterium. RNAcentral describes it as "uncultured actinobacterium contains 16S-23S intergenic spacer region". Lineage: Bacteria; Bacillati; Actinomycetota; Actinomycetes. The record is from RNAcentral.
UCCGAGUUGACCCCGGCAGUCUCCUGUGAGUCCCCGGCCGAACCGCUGGCAACACAGAACGAGGGUUGCGCUCGUUGCGGGACUUAACCCAACAUCUCACGACACGAGCUGACGACAACCAUGCACCACCUGUACACCGACCACAAGGGGGCGCCCAUCUCUGGACGUUUCCGGUGUAUGUCAAGCCUUGGUAAGGUUCUUCGCGUUGCGUCGAAUUAAGCCACAUGCUCCGCUGCUUGUGCGGGCCCCCGUCAAUUCCUUUGAGUUUUAGCCUUGCGGCCGUACUCCCCAGGCGGGGCACUUAAUGCGUUAGCUGCGGCGCGGACGACGUGGAAUGUCGCCCACACCUAGUGCCCAACGUUUACGGCGUGGACUAC